This is a long non-coding RNA of Amblyraja radiata (thorny skate), 165 nucleotides long. RefSeq lists it as uncharacterized. The record is from RefSeq and is a predicted model, not a curated record. Lineage: Eukaryota; Metazoa; Chordata; Chondrichthyes; Rajiformes; Rajidae. The transcript is spliced from 3 exons.
ACAGUACCCUGUUCCUGCUUUCUCCCCAUAUCCCUUGAUUCCUUCAACACCAAGAGCUAAAAAUACCUCUCUCUUGAAAACAUCCAGUGAAUUGGCCUCCACUGUCUUCUGUGGCAGAGAAUUCCACAGAUUCACAACUCUCUGGGUGAAGAAGGUUUGUCCUCA